UUGGUCGGGAGCUCGCUCGUGAGCUCUAGGGCUCUCCCCCGCGCCUAUAUAAGGACCCCCGAACCCCUCCGCACCUCACCAGCCUCUCCCCAAGCCUCCGCGACCUGUAGAGUCGCCCGAUCUCGCCAGAGUUCGCCUCGGCCAUUGCCGGUCUUCUUGAUUCCGGCGAGCAUAGUCCACCUCUCCACCUCCCGACCCGUCCUACGCGUUCCCCUCCUACCCGCGGUUCGCCCCCACCCCUUGCCCCCUCGCCGGAGCCGCUGCUUCACCGAGUACCUCCACCACCCGAGCUCUCUGUAGCCUCCCCGGUCGCCGCACCUCCCUGCCUCUCCACCACUCUCCGGCACCUCCUUUGCCUCUGAAUGGAUGCGGUGCUCUGCCCUGAACCCGCCGGUGCCCGCGCCUUGGCCUGAGGUGGCCGGAGCAGCCCGUUCCAUCGCCAGCGCCCGCCCAGCUCCUCUCUGUUCUCCUCCCAUCGCCACUUCCCCUAGGCAUCCCCGCCGUCCCUGCUGCCUCUCUCUGCUGCGGCCGGCCGAUCCGCGCCCGCCGGUGGCCUCCGCCUGGCCGGACUUGGCCGGAGCCGCCUGGGCCCCUCGCGGCGCCCACCUCCCCUGCUUCGCUACUCUGUCUCCGAUCGGGGAGGCAGGAGGAGGAAGACGACGACCUGGCUCGGCCCCCCUGGCCGCUGGACCCCACGUGCCAGCCACACACCCCGGGCCCAGGGACCCAUUGGUGAUAAAAUCUUCACGGAAUGGUCCUUCUUCUUCCACACAUCAUAACUCCGCAACCGUAACUCCGAUCGAGCCCCCUCCAAGAGAAAACCGUCCGGUGUUUCGUUCCGCGGCUUCACCGCACUUUUUCCUGCAGUCUCCGUCACCCCAGGCAAGCCACAAUACCCACUUGCAUGAUAGUCAUGCAGUAGCCAUGGUUUU
This is a long non-coding RNA of Triticum aestivum (bread wheat), 932 nucleotides long. RefSeq lists it as uncharacterized. NCBI's taxonomy places the organism in Eukaryota, Viridiplantae, Streptophyta, Magnoliopsida, Poales, Poaceae. The record is from RefSeq and is a predicted model, not a curated record. The transcript is spliced from 3 exons.